AGGCGAGGGAGCCAGAGCUGUUGAGCCAUGAGGAAGGCGACCGAUGGCAGAUUCCUCCAGCAUUUCCACCCCUGGGGCUCUUGGCGAGCGAGCGCUCGUCUGCUUUGAAAGCUCUUAGUGCUCCUGCAGUUCAGCACUGAAUAACGAGCCUGCAAGCCGGAGGGAGAGCUCCCCAGAGAGGCGCCUGCGCACGGGAGAUGGACACAACAAGUGCCUCAGAUGGGUCGGUAUCUGAAGCAAUCUCUCUCUAAUUUUCUACACCAGUGAGAGCACAGCACAGCACCAUCAAUCACAGCCAGCCUCUCCUCAGAAAGCUGCCUCCCACCUGGCUGUGCUGUGGGGCUCCCCUGUGCUCCUGCCUGUGCUGGGGGCUGCAGGUGUCCUGGGCAGCAGCACUGUAGGCACUGUCCCUCCUGGGGGUUUCUCAUUCCUUGUAUUCCUUGUAUUUCAGCCUGCUUGUGCUUGUGCCUGUCUCCUUCCUCCACCACCAGCACCUGCUCCUUGCCAGCACUUCAUUUCCAGAUGCAUCUUCCCCUCCUGGAGUCAGAAAAGGCCAAAUGCUCCCUUUAUCCCCGGUGAGGAGAAGUUGUGAUGGCUCUUGGACCUACCAAAACCUGGCUGACCUGUUUCUGGUAUCCUGACACAGAAGUUGUUUUCAGCCCCAUAUCUGUCUCCCUGGGCUCAAGCACCAGCUAGAAAACCAAGGACUGAGCUGCUGCAGCUUUAGAAAGAAGCUUUUUCAGAAGAAACUCUUGCAAUUGCCACCUCCCUCUCAGCCUCUUCAUUGGUUUCUGAGAGUAGCUGAGCAUCCUUGACCUCUCUCUCAGGCAUGGUUCCCUGCAUGUAUCAGCCCUGCCCCCGUGUUGUGGAGCUGUUGCUGGCAUCUGUAAUAGCUGCGUUGUUUACUUCCCAAGCGCCUGCCCUUUCUGUAAUGAGCUGUAAUUCAUCCUGGUUCAUACAGGGCUCAGAGAUACCUGCAGCAAGGAGGGUGUGCCAUUAAACCCCCUUCUAGACUGCUAUCUGGACCAGGGAUUGCUAAUCUCCUGGAGAUGUAAAACAGGGAGGACAAGGGGGACCAGAUGGAAAUGGGGAAUAAUUACCUUGCAGGGUAAAGGGGGCUGGCUAGGUUGGAAGCUGCUGGGAGCUGACACGCAGGUGCAGAUGGAUGGUUAUGGCAGGCAGGGUGGAGGGAUGAAAGAUGCCUUUUUAAAACAUCUGCCUCCCUUUCUUCCUCUGCUUUAUAGCCUGUUUUUAUAGAGACUGCAUGAGGAACACAUUUUUUUUUAUUAGCAGCUUGGGA
Long non-coding RNA from Oenanthe melanoleuca, 1300 nucleotides. RefSeq lists it as uncharacterized. The record is from RefSeq and is a predicted model, not a curated record. The transcript has 3 exons. NCBI's taxonomy places the organism in Eukaryota, Metazoa, Chordata, Aves, Passeriformes, Muscicapidae.